GCCCAACACACAAAACAAGCGGUGAGUGCUUUGGGGUGGGGUGACUGCGUACCUUUUGUAUAAUGGGUCAGCGACUUAUAUUCUGUAGCAAGGUUAACCGUAUAGGGGAGCCGAAGGGAAACCGAGUCUUAACUGGGCGUUAAGUUGCAGGGUAUAGACCCGAAACCCGGUGAUCUAGCCAUGGGCAGGUUGAAGGUUGGGUAACACUAACUGGAGGACCGAACCGACUAAUGUUGAAAAAUUAGCGGAUGACUUGUGGCUGGGGGUGAAAGGCCAAUCAAACCGGGAGAUAGCUGGUUCUCCCCGAAAGCUAUUUAGGUAGCGCCUCGUGAACUCAUCUUCGGGGGUAGAGCACUGUUUCGGCUAGGGGGUCAUCCCGACUUACCAACCCGAUGCAAACUGCGAAUACCGAAGAAUGUUAUCACGGGAGACACACGGCGGGUGCUAACGUCCGUCGUGAAGAGGGAAACAACCCAGACCGCCAGCUAAGGUCCCAAAGUCACAGUUAAGUGGGAAACGAUGUGGGAAGGCUCAGACAGCCAGGAUGUUGGCUUAGAAGCAGCCAUCAUUUAAAGAAAGCGUAAUAGCUCACUGGUCGAGUCGGCCUGCGCGGAAGAUGUAACGGGGCUAAACUGUGCACCGAAGCUGCGGCAGCGACGCUUAUGCGUUGUUGGGUAGGGGAGCGUUCUGUAAGCCUGCGAAGGUGUCCUGUGAGGGAUGCUGGAGGUAUCAGAAGUGCGAAUGCUGACAUAAGUAACGAUAAUGCGGGUGAAAAGCCCGCUCGCCGGAAGACCAAGGGUUCCUGUCCAACGUUAAUCGGGGCAGGGUGAGUCGACCCCUAAGGCGAGGCCGAAAGGCGUAGUCGAUGGGAAACGGGUUAAUAUUCCCGUACUUGGUGUUACUGCGAAGGGGGGACGGAGAAGGCUAUGUUGGCCGGGCGACGGUUGUCCCGGUUUAAGCGUGUAGGCUGGUUUUCCAGGCAAAUCCG
Molecule: ribosomal RNA, 988 nt
Filed under: Salmonella enterica
Lineage: Bacteria; Pseudomonadati; Pseudomonadota; Gammaproteobacteria; Enterobacterales; Enterobacteriaceae
Description: partial 23S ribosomal RNA
Rfam family: Bacterial large subunit ribosomal RNA
Source: RNAcentral